GAAAUAUAAGAACUCGUCUCUUAACUUUUAACUAAAAAAAUUAAGAACCGGCUCUUAAAACUCUUAUUUAAGAACCGAUUUUUAGCUUUUUUUAAUUAAAAAUUAAGAGACGGAUUCUUAUAUUCC
Non-coding RNA from Brassica napus (rape), 126 nucleotides. The record is from Rfam. NCBI's taxonomy places the organism in Eukaryota, Viridiplantae, Streptophyta, Magnoliopsida, Brassicales, Brassicaceae.